AAACGUUCACAUUAGAGAGAGAAGCUCUUUCUUCUCUCUAACUUUUACUGCUUCAUCUUCUUCUCUGCUUCCUCUACAUAUGUAGGUUAACCUGCGCUGAGGGUGCCAUGGCGAGAGGGAGAGGCCGACCUAAGAAAGUACUGGUGCCAAUCUAUGCAAACAACACUGUUUUCCCAAAAUCUGUUAACACUGUGCCACAGUCGGUUAACACUGUUCCAUU
This 220-nucleotide long non-coding RNA is filed under the name Nicotiana benthamiana. Its description in RNAcentral is "long non-coding RNA (NBEN_LNC023727)". The record is from RNAcentral. Lineage: Eukaryota; Viridiplantae; Streptophyta; Magnoliopsida; Solanales; Solanaceae.